CUGUGAUUUAAGGCCUGUGCUUCAACAGUAAAUCGAUCUGAGUGGAAGAGCCUGAGUGGCCAGCAGCAGAGAAGCAAAUCCAGCAAGCACGCCAGGAAUGAUGGAGUCUGGUGUGAUGAAUUGCUGACCUGACCUUUGUCCUUGCCAUUCUGAUGUAUCAUCAUCGCCUGGCUCAACAGCACAGGAUGGAUGUUACCAGCCCAAAGCCCUUGUAUAAGGAUCUGAUGAGCA
Molecule: long non-coding RNA, 231 nt
Filed under: Sinocyclocheilus anshuiensis
Lineage: Eukaryota; Metazoa; Chordata; Actinopteri; Cypriniformes; Cyprinidae
Description: lncRNA (ENSSANG00000021548.1)
Source: RNAcentral